Molecule: ribosomal RNA, 505 nt
Filed under: uncultured bacterium
Lineage: Bacteria
Description: partial 16S ribosomal RNA
Rfam family: Bacterial small subunit ribosomal RNA
Source: RNAcentral
AGUGAACGCUGGCGGUAGGCCUAACACAUGCAAGUCGAACGGCAGCACAGGAGAGCUUGCUCUCUGGGUGGCGAGUGGCGGACGGGUGAGGAAUACAUCGGAAUCUACUCUGUCGUGGGGGAUAACGUAGGGAAACUUACGCUAAUACCGCAUACGACCUAAGGGUGAAAGCAGGGGACCUUCGGGCCUUGCGCGAUUGAAUGAGCCGGUGUGGGAUUAGCUAGUUGGCGGGGUAAAGGCCCACCAAGGCGACGAUCCGUAGCUGGUCUGAGAGGAUGAUCAGCCAAAAUGGAACUGAGACACGGUCCAGACUCCUACGGGGGGCAGCAGUGGGGAAUAUUGGACAAUGGGCGCAAGCCUGAUCCAGCCAUACCGCGUGGGUGAAGAAGGCCUUCGGGUUGUAAAGCCCUUUUGUUGGGAAAGAAAUCAGCUGGCUAAUACCCGGUUGGGAUGACGGUACCCAAAGAAUAAGCACCGGCUAACUUCGUGCCAGCCGCCGCCGUAA